CCUACGGGAGGCAGCAGUGGGGAAUAUUGGACAAUGGGGGCAACCCUGAUCCAGCCAUGCCGCGGGUGUGAAGAAGGCCCUCGGGUUGUAAAGCACUUUCAGUGAGGAAGAACGCCUGGUGGUUAAUACCCAUCAGGAAAGACAUCACUCACAGAAGAAGCACCGGCUAACUCCGUGCCAGCAGCCGCGGUAAUACGGAGGGUGCGAGCGUUAAUCGGAAUUACUGGGCGUAAAGCGCGCGUAGGUGGCUUGAUAAGCCGGUUGUGAAAGCCCCGGGCUCAACCUGGGAACGGCAUCCGGAACUGUCAAGCUAGAGUGCAGGAGAGGAAGGUAGAAUUCCCGGUGUAGCGGUGAAAUGCGUAGAGAUCGGGAGGAAUACCAGUGGCGAAGGCGGCCUUCUGGACUGACACUGACACUGAGGUGCGAAAGCGUGGGUUGCAAACAGGAUUAGAUACCCCAGUAGUC
RNAcentral lists this ribosomal RNA (465 nucleotides) under Vreelandella stevensii. Its description in RNAcentral is "partial 16S ribosomal RNA". It matches the Rfam family "Bacterial small subunit ribosomal RNA", at positions 338 to 795 of the family's 1533-position model. The record is from RNAcentral. Lineage: Bacteria; Pseudomonadati; Pseudomonadota; Gammaproteobacteria; Oceanospirillales; Halomonadaceae.